CUUUUCGAGGUAGGAGUCGACUCCUGUGAGGUAUGGUGCUGGGUGCAGAUGCAGUGUGGCUCUGGAUAGCACCUUAUGGACAGUUGUGUCCCCAAGGAAGGAUGAGAAUAGCUACUGAAGUCCUAAAGAGCAAGCCUAACUCAAGCCAUUGGCACACAGGCAUUAGACAGAAAGCUGGAAGUUGAAAUGGUGGAGUCCAACUUGCCUGGACCAGCUUAAUGGUUCUGCUCCUGGUAACGUUUUUAUCCAUGGAUGACUUGCUUGGGUAAGGACAUGAAGACAGUUCCUGUCAUACCUUUUAAAGGUAUGGAGAGUCGGCUUGACUACACUGUGUGGAGCAAGUUUUAAAGAAGCAAAGGACUCAGAAUUCAUGAUUGAAGAAAUGCAGACCUGUUAUCCUAAACUAGGGUUUUUAAUGACCACAACAAGCAAGCAUGCAGCUUACUGCUUGAAAGGUGAGGAUUGGAAAUGUUGGGACUAUUAUAAUUGCAGAAUACAUGAUGAUCUCAAUCCAACUUGAACUCUCUCACUGAUUACUUGAUGACAAUAAAAUAUCUGAUAUUCUGCA
RNAcentral lists this long non-coding RNA (568 nucleotides) under Homo sapiens (human). Its description in RNAcentral is "growth arrest specific 5". The stretch from base 490 to 566 matches the Rfam family "Small nucleolar RNA SNORD81". The record is from RNAcentral. Lineage: Eukaryota; Metazoa; Chordata; Mammalia; Primates; Hominidae.